AGCGGCUGGUGUGAGAGGGGUUGGAGGGAGCAGGCAGGAGGGCGGCGGCGGUGAGUUCACGCACAGUCUUCGCAGUGGAGUCAACCCCGGCCUGAAAACAGGAGUUCAGAGGGUGGCAGAGAUUACAGAGAAUGUGCAGUGUUCACUUGGUCCAGGGCUGCAGUCACACUCCUGUCUUCCCAGAGUGCAGGUGACAACAACUUCAGGGAACUUUCUUCAGUUUUUUUGAAGUGGCACUCCCUCAUGCUCUGUGCAGUUGCCUGAUAGUCAGUCUCCACUCUAUAAUUGGGAACAUGAGUGUCCAGAAGUACAAGACCCUCACCAUUGAGGAAAAGUACAAGGUCAUCAAAUGUGUGGAGGAGCAUCCUGAAAAUCUGAAGAAACCGAAGUUUAACAUCCCACCUGCAACUUCUCGACCCACCCAAAAAACAAACACCGAAUCAGCACUGACCAUCAGCAGAACUUAUCCACUGGAAGGAAGCGGAUGCACUCUUCAGCCUGCCGCAAUGUUGAAAUGGCUUUGCUGGGUUGGUUGAAGCAGGUCAGAACCGCUAACCUUCCAGGACUCUCUGACCUUGCUUUACAGGAGAAAGCAAAUUAAUUUGCUGAGGAGUUUGGCAGUGACCCUGUUUCAGCAUCAUGGGUAACUUGCUUCAAAAAUUGUCAUGCAUCUAAAUCUAGAUUGGAGGAGAUGAUGAGUUCUUUUCCAUGCAUUGGUAAGGUAGCCAGCAGGAUCAGUUCAUUGGAAGCCAUAAAGUUGACUCAUUCUGGACAAGGUGCUGAAGUUGCUGCGACUGAGAGUGAGGAAAAAAUCAAAGAUGCUGGGUUCAGUGACCAGACAGUCAAAGAGGCACCAAUUCCCACCACAGCGAUGGCAAUCAAUUUUGUACAGUUACUGAGGAAGUGGCUGACAACUAAGAUAGCUGUCUCAGCAGAGCUGGUAUCCGUACUGAAUAAAAUUGAGUAUUUUGUGAAUAAGUGUACAAAGGACAAAAAGCAAAGACCAAACAAAGGGAAGUUUGCAAAAUGACUAACUAUGCAUUGCAUUGCAUUGCAUUGCAUAGCAUGUGUAGUAGCGGAGUUUUAUUUCCCACUGACGAUGUUUGGCAACGGAUUUUUUAAAUAUUCUGUUUUGCUGUAUUGUACCAUUAAAGUUUCUUC
Long non-coding RNA from Pristis pectinata (smalltooth sawfish), 1161 nucleotides. RefSeq lists it as uncharacterized. The transcript is spliced from 3 exons. The record is from RefSeq and is a predicted model, not a curated record. Lineage: Eukaryota; Metazoa; Chordata; Chondrichthyes; Rhinopristiformes; Pristidae.